GAGGGUAUAACUCAGUGGUAGAGUGCAUGCCUAGCAUGCACGAAGCCCUGGGUUCGAUCCCCAGUACCUCCA
RNAcentral lists this transfer RNA (72 nucleotides) under Camelus bactrianus (Bactrian camel). It matches the Rfam family "tRNA". Rfam says of the family: Transfer RNA (tRNA) molecules are approximately 80 nucleotides in length. Their secondary structure includes four short double-helical elements and three loops (D, anti-codon, and T loops). Further hydrogen bonds mediate the characteristic L-shaped molecular structure. tRNAs have two regions of fundamental functional importance: the anti-codon, which is responsible for specific mRNA codon recognition, and the 3' end, to which the tRNAs corresponding amino acid is attached (by aminoacyl-tRNA synthetases). tRNAs cope with the degeneracy of the genetic code in two manners: having more than one tRNA (with a specific anti-codon) for a particular amino acid; and 'wobble' base-pairing, i.e. permitting non-standard base-pairing at the 3rd anti-codon position. RNAcentral also lists the same sequence under 2 other names. The record is from Rfam by way of RNAcentral. Lineage: Eukaryota; Metazoa; Chordata; Mammalia; Artiodactyla; Camelidae.